AUGCUAUUGCUGUUGGCACUGUUGCUGCUCUGUAAUGACAGAGUUGGCAACGUCAAAGGCUUAACGAUCCACGAGAGUAGCAUCGUCGAUCUGCAUGCGCUGCUCGAUUUCAAGCAGGGCAUCACCGACGAUCCACGAGGAGCCUUGAGCAGCUGGACCAACAACACCCACUUCUGUCGAUGGCGUGGUGUGAACUGCACCACAACACGUCCGUUUCGCGUCUCGCGGCUUGUCCUCACCGGCCUGGAUUUAGCAGGACAAAUCACCUCCUCUCUUGGAAACAUGACUUUCCUUCAAUCACUCGACCUUUUUUUUUUGGAAGGUUCAAUCACUCGACCUUGA
RNAcentral lists this ribosomal RNA (342 nucleotides) under Triticum aestivum (bread wheat). Its description in RNAcentral is "partial small subunit ribosomal RNA". The record is from RNAcentral. Lineage: Eukaryota; Viridiplantae; Streptophyta; Magnoliopsida; Poales; Poaceae.